CGUGUAGGCGGACGCGUAAGUCCGGUGUAAAAUCCCCCGGCUCAACCGGGGAAGGCCAUCGGAUACUGCGUGUCUGGAGUGCGGGAGGGGAGAGUGGAACUCUUGGUGGAGCGGUGAAAUGCGUAGAUAUCAAGAGGAACGCCGGUGGCGAAAGCGGCUCUCUGGCCCGUUACUGACGCUGAGGCGCGAAAGCUAGGGGAGCAAACGGGAUUAGAUACCCCGGUAGUCCUAGCCCUAAACGGUGGAUACUAAGUAGGGGCGACUCCGAUGUUGUCUCUGCUGUAGCCAACGUGCUAAGUAUCCCGCCUGGGGAGUACGGUCGCAAGGCUGAA
RNAcentral lists this ribosomal RNA (332 nucleotides) under uncultured bacterium. RNAcentral's name for it is "bacterial SSU rRNA". It matches the Rfam family "Bacterial small subunit ribosomal RNA", at positions 568 to 898 of the family's 1533-position model. The record is from RNAcentral.